Long non-coding RNA from Acipenser ruthenus (sterlet), 2515 nucleotides. RefSeq lists it as uncharacterized. Lineage: Eukaryota; Metazoa; Chordata; Actinopteri; Acipenseriformes; Acipenseridae. The transcript is spliced from 3 exons. The record is from RefSeq and is a predicted model, not a curated record.
UCUCUCUCUCUCGCUCUCUCAGACUUCGUUCCAUACGAGUCCCAAUUCCGGGAAUUCCAGCCUUCCCUGCUCUCUAAAUUACACAGGAAAGGGUAACAAAAACUACGCUAUUCCUUUCAAAAUCCACCCCCCAAAUCUACCAGUGCUGCACUUCCCUCCCUUGCCAAUGAUCCUCAACUCUGUUUUUUAAAACUUCUAACAGCCAGCUGUGACAUCUUACAAGAUUUGGAAACUGAAAAGAAAGAAAGAAAAUACCUCAUGACAAAAUAAAAAGCACCAGCUGGCUUUUUUUAAAUUGCCAAAGUAUAAUUAAACAAUUCUUCAGAAGCACUCUUCUCAGAUCUUCCCAAGGCAUACACAGGGCUGUGAACAGGUUCAUGAAUAUGCAAGACAAGCCCCAAGAGUGACCAAACUGUGGCUCGUAAGCCGCAUGCAGCUCUUUUGCAGUUCAAGUGCAGCUCCCGGUGAAAUGCUGGGUGACGCACACUUUGCAGCUCGAAUGAACUGAAGAAAGAAUAUCAAACAAAAACAAAAAGAGAGAAAAAGUAAAAAUAAACACAACAAGUUUAUUAUUUUUGUUCUCUGCAUUCAUUCAUGUUAAUUAUUCUUUCUUCUCUCCCGUUCGCUCUCUACUGUGUCUUUGAGCCUGCAUGGUCACUGCAAGGACAUUUCGCAACUUGAUGACUUUCGACUCCGCUCGCUGGCGCAUGCGUAUUUCCGUCACCUGAUGUGCAGUUGAAAGUGAAUUUCAUCAUUUUAAAUUAAGUGCUCAUUCAUUUAGUUGAGACAAUGGCAUUGAGUAAACCCUCCACCCUAAUUAACUGAAGUAUGAGGCUUUAAGCCAGAAUGGGAAGAAGAGUUCGCUUUCACUGAAAACAGUGGUAAACUUGUGUCUCAUCUGCAACAGUGGUAAACUUGUGUCUCAUCGCUUACACACUGUAGUCUGUACAAAGCGAGCAGCCUCAAAUAUGAAACAAAUCACAACACAUUUACAUCCGAAUAACAGAGUUGGAGAAACAAGCUGGCCUCUAAAAUCACGCCUCAGCAGUCAGCAGAUGCUCCUUUCGGCGUUCAGUAAAGAAUUUGAUUUAAUGACUAAAGUUUUGUAUGGCAUUGUAGAUCUACAGUACAAUAGAAAUGUAGUAUGCGGCUCAUAGAGUCAAGAUGUUUGGCCACCCCUGCCCUAGAUAGAAACUGAUAUAUACCAUGUGAGAACUCAACUGCCUCUAUAAAUGGAUACAGACCACAUGCUUUGAAUUAGUCUUUGCAUUUGGUACACGACUUAUUUAUUUGAUUAUAUCAGUCAUGUUCCUUUACAGGCAUUGUCCAGUAUAUAUUAACAGUGUAACUGCCACUGUAAAAACCUCUGGCAAUAUCAAUGAUACAGACCACACAUUUGGUUUACAGCUGUAUUUUAUGAUUCUCUUGAUCAUAAUGUCCAGUAAAAAAUCAUUAAUGAUACAUGACUUUUUUCACUUUACAAUCCCUCAUUUUUUCAUUUCCAUUAGAAAUGCCCCUUAAAUUAUACCCUCUGGGAUGCUUGUUCACAAAGACACCCCAUUCUGAUUCCCUUUGGUAGUUCAGCACUGAUGGCUAUCCCCAGUUACGUUCAAAUAGUGUAUUCAACAAAAGAAUCAGAUUACCUUGAAAAAUCUGAUUUAAGUGGCUACAGAAACACUGAUCUUUUACCUGACAAAUCAUUUUUAUAAACCCAUAAAUCACAUACAAUUCUUGCUCUGUAUUUUUCUUGAUAGCACUAGAUUUUGUUGACCAAUAUAUUUCAGCCAUAAUAUGCUGUACAUGUUGGAUCUCUUUUGUUCUUUAGCUGUGUUUGGCCUCUUUAGAUUUAUGUUUGGUAUCUGAUCUAUGUCAUAAGCCUGGUCUUUAUGAUUCAUUCCAGUAAGCCAGAUCAUCCGGAGUUCAAAGCUGCUGUUUUAAAGCUAUCGCUGUCUUGAAGUAACACAAUUAAAAACCCAUCACCAAAAAUAAGACAUGGCUGCUUCACGUUUAAGCAUGCAAUUGCAUUAAGUGAGCCUGUGACAGGGUACACCCCGCCCCUGUGCGUGUAUGUAUUAUUUUGUAUUUGUGUUGUGUUACUAUUAUUUAAAUGUUUGAUUUGAUGUGUUAAAAACACUGUGUUUUGUUAUUGUUGUUUUGCAUCAUGGAUGUGGUUAAAAUUCCCCAUCCAUGCUAAACUCGUGCAGAAUGUGACCGUCUCCAGAUUGAUUAAUGAAUUGCUAAUCUGGAGACGGUCAUCGGUAUAACAACCUGCAGCUUUGGCUGAACGAGGUUGGUGUGUUCAGGGAGAAAGAACGGGAGAGAGACGGAGAGAACUGAGAAAAAUACAGAAAUAAGCCAUUGCUACUUGUGCUGGCUUUAAAACCAGUACGUUUCUUGUUUGUUCGCUGUUCUGUGGUUUGUCUGUCUGUUUUGGCCACCGUGCCGUUUUUGUUUUGGAAAGUGUUUUGUUUAAAUCUUUUGUUUUAUAAUUAAAACGCGCAUCAACGCUUCCAUU